Molecule: unclassified non-coding RNA, 337 nt
Filed under: soil metagenome
Description: partial contains 5.8S ribosomal RNA, internal transcribed spacer 2, and large subunit ribosomal RNA
Rfam family: 5.8S ribosomal RNA (bases 1-120)
Source: RNAcentral
GAUGAAGAACGUAGCGAAAUGCGAUAAGUAGUGUGAAUUGCAGAAUUCAGUGAAUCAUCGAAUCUUUGAACGCACAUUGCGCCCCUUGGUAUUCCAUGGGGCAUGCCUGUUCGAGCGUCAUUUGUACCUUCAAGCUCUGCUUGGUGUUGGGUGUUUGUCUCGCCUCUGCGUGUAGACUCGCCUCAAAAUAAUUGGCAGCCGGCGUAUUGAUUUCGGAGCGCAGUAUAUCUCGCGCUUUGCACUCAUAACGACGACGUCCAAAAGUACAUUUUUACACUCUUGACCUCGGAUCAGGUAGGGAUACCCGCUGAACUUAAGCAUAUCAAUAAGCGGAGGA